This 23-nucleotide microRNA is filed under the name Panagrellus redivivus. RNAcentral's name for it is "prd-miR-7919-3p". The record is from miRBase by way of RNAcentral. Lineage: Eukaryota; Metazoa; Nematoda; Chromadorea; Rhabditida; Panagrolaimidae.
CAGCACUUAUCACAUGCAAUGCG